RNAcentral lists this ribosomal RNA (125 nucleotides) under Rhinocladiella sp. RNAcentral describes it as "partial small subunit ribosomal RNA". It matches the Rfam family "Eukaryotic small subunit ribosomal RNA", at positions 1657 to 1779 of the family's 1831-position model. The record is from RNAcentral. Lineage: Eukaryota; Fungi; Ascomycota; Eurotiomycetes; Chaetothyriales; Herpotrichiellaceae.
CCUUUGUACACACCGCCCGUCGCUACUACCGAUUGAAUGGUUAAGUGAGACUUUGGGACUGGCUCAGAGAGGUCGGCAACGACCACUCAGAGCCGGAAACUUGUUCAAACUUGAUCAUUUAGAGG